This is a long non-coding RNA of Myotis myotis, 416 nucleotides long. RefSeq lists it as uncharacterized. The record is from RefSeq and is a predicted model, not a curated record. The transcript has 2 exons. Lineage: Eukaryota; Metazoa; Chordata; Mammalia; Chiroptera; Vespertilionidae.
ACAAGCAUGCGGGCAGCGUGGUGAAAUGGGAAGCAAGCUGGGUCAUGAAUCAGCAGGCUUGGGCUGGAGCCCUGGGCAGGUCACUCCACUUCUUGGGACGCUGCUUCCUUCUCCAAGGUCACCGCCGUCUUGCGGCUUCUCCAACCGUCUGGAGGGUCGUGAGGACCACAGAGCCUCUGGGCUCUCAUGGAACUCUCUUUUAACUUCCACGAGGCACUUCUGAACAUCUGCCUUUUCUCUGAGCCAGCUUUCCAGUAACAAAAAGCUAACACUAUGAAAGAACAACCAGCAUACCAAAAGACUACCUAACAUCAUCCGAACAAGAGGCUUGUUUGGGAAUUCCGUGACACGUCCUCUCCGGAACAUCCCAGAAAGAGCAACUGGCCAUUGGGAAAUAAAAACCGCUUCUUUGAAAA